RNAcentral lists this non-coding RNA (29 nucleotides) under Mus musculus (house mouse). The record is from RNAcentral. Lineage: Eukaryota; Metazoa; Chordata; Mammalia; Rodentia; Muridae.
UGCUAGAACUACUGCAGGGCUUUCCUUGU